This 772-nucleotide long non-coding RNA is filed under the name Homo sapiens (human). RNAcentral describes it as "HSALNT0077042". Lineage: Eukaryota; Metazoa; Chordata; Mammalia; Primates; Hominidae. The record is from RNAcentral.
UGCCUCCUUGGGCCCACUUUCCUUCAGAGGCAGCACAAGCAGCAGAAGAUGGGCCUCCUCCUCUUUUCAAUUACUGUGGUCUGAAAAUAUUAAAGAAAACUACCAGAUGAAAAGAACUCAUAAGUUGGAAAUUGUUCUAUUUAAAUUUACUGUGGAGCUGAAUACUUGGGUCUCAGACAUAUUUCUGCCUACAUUCCCAGGAAAUUUUAUCACCAGUCUUCAAUGUGAAUUGAAUGAGGGACAGCAACUUUUUGGUUACUCAUCAAAGACGUUCCAGGCCCUGACCUGAACAAGGAAAUCAAAAUAAGAAUCCCUGCCACCACGGUGAAAUGAUGUGACGACUAAGCUGACAGAUGGAUGUUAAUGAGGAACAUGGUCCAGCUGCUGCAAAUUAGCAAAACUUCCCAGGAAGAGUCCAUCCAGAGGUUCUGCUAUCCUGCUGCCGCGGGACUGCCUGUGGCCGGGAGUCCGGCACUAAAAAGAUUCCAAGGGCCUACAUCCCCAAGAGGCUGUGGCGCAUCUGGACCCAAGCCAUGGUGAGAGUGGCAGUGACUUCAAAGGUCUCCAGGACUCACUAGGCAACACUACCCGACGUUUACAGAUUUUAAAUGCAUCUCAAUCCCACAGGAAAUUUUUUUAAAACGUUAACAUAUUUUCAUACAUGUAUUAAAGGGGACUUUAAAAUGAGAUUGCAUAAAUGAAAAUAUGUAAAUACUAUAUGCUUCAUAGAGAAAUCAAAUGGGAAGUAAGAAGAACUAGAUAUGCAUUAUAU